RNAcentral lists this ribosomal RNA (730 nucleotides) under uncultured Gammaproteobacteria bacterium. RNAcentral describes it as "bacterial SSU rRNA". It matches the Rfam family "Bacterial small subunit ribosomal RNA", at positions 62 to 782 of the family's 1533-position model. The record is from RNAcentral. Lineage: Bacteria; Pseudomonadati; Pseudomonadota; Gammaproteobacteria.
UCGAACGGAAACGAUGCUAGCUUGCUAGCAGGCGUUCGAGUGGCGGACGGGUGAGUAAUGUAUAGGGAUCUGCCUGAUAGUGGGGGACAACGUGUGGAAACGCACGCUAAUACCGCAUACGCUCUACGGAGGAAAGCGGGGGCUCUUCGGACCUCGUGCUAUCAGAUGAACCUAUAUCAGAUUAGCUAGUUGGUGAGGUAAUGGCUCACCAAGGCGACGAUCUGUAGCUGGUUUGAGAGAAUGAUCAGCCACACUGGGACUGAGACACGGCCCAGACUCCUACGGGAGGCAGCAGUGGGGAAUAUUGCACAAUGGAGGAAACUCUGAUGCAGCAAUGCCGCGUGUGUGAAGAAGGCCUUAGGGUUGUAAAGCACUUUCAAUAGGGAGGAAAAGUAUAAGUUUAAUACACUUAUGCCGUGACGUUACCUAUAGAAGAAGGACCGGCUAACUCCGUGCCAGCAGCCGCGGUAAUACGGAGGGUCCGAGCGUUAAUCGGAAUUACUGGGCGUAAAGCGCGCGUAGGCGGAUAGAUAAGUCAGAUGUGAAAUCCCUGGGCUCAACCUAGGAACUGCAUUUGAAACUGUCUAUCUAGAGUAUGGUAGAGGUGAGUGGAAUUUCAGGUGUAGCGGUGAAAUGCGUAGAGAUCUGAAGGAACAUCAGUGGCGAAGGCGACUCACUGGGCCAUUACUGACGCUGAGGUGCGAAAGCGUGGGUAGCAAACAGGAUUAGA